RNAcentral lists this transfer RNA (63 nucleotides) under Tenuibranchiurus glypticus. RNAcentral describes it as "tRNA-Lys". Lineage: Eukaryota; Metazoa; Arthropoda; Malacostraca; Decapoda; Parastacidae. The record is from RNAcentral.
CACUAGUAACCUUUUAAGACUAGGUCUUUUGAACCUAAAAUAAGUAGUUUCUACUACUAGUGA